GAUGAACGCUGGCGGCGUGCCUAACACAUGCAAGUCGAGCGGAUGGACGGAGCUUUUGCCUGGCUUCAGCGGGGGGCGGGCGAGUGAUGCACAGGAGUCUGCCUGGUCUGGGGGGCUAACAUCCGGACGCGAGCGCUGAUAUCGCAUACGACCAGAUGGUGAAACUGGGGGAUCUUCGGACAUAACCGGUCUAGCUGAGACUAGGCCGGAUUUGCUAGUUGGUGGGGUAAGGGCUUACCAAGGCGGCGUUCCAUAACUAAUCUGCGAGGCUGAUCAGCCACCCUGGAACUGAGACACGGUCCAGACUCCUACGGGAGGCAGCAGUAGGGAAUAUUAGGCAAUGGGCGAAAGCCUGAUCCAGCCAUGCCGCGUGUGUGAAGAAGGUCUUCGGAUCGUAAAGCACUUUUAGUUGGGAAGAACCGCUGUGAGAUUAUACGUGGCUGUUUUGACGUUACCAACAGAAUAAGCACCGGCUAACUACGUG
Molecule: ribosomal RNA, 484 nt
Filed under: uncultured bacterium
Lineage: Bacteria
Description: partial 16S ribosomal RNA
Rfam family: Bacterial small subunit ribosomal RNA
Source: RNAcentral